Molecule: non-coding RNA, 1935 nt
Filed under: Galdieria sulphuraria
Lineage: Eukaryota; Rhodophyta; Bangiophyceae; Galdieriales; Galdieriaceae
Description: Eukaryotic large subunit ribosomal RNA
Rfam family: Eukaryotic large subunit ribosomal RNA
Source: Rfam by way of RNAcentral
AGACCUCCAAUCAGACGAGGUUACCCGCUGAACUUAAGCAUAUUAUUAAGCGGAGGAAAAGAAACCAACUGGAAUUCCCAUAGUAGCGGCGAGCGAAGUGGGAGUAGCCCAAUUUGAAAAUCCUUUUUCUUUUUGAAAAGGAGAUGUAUAUUUCAAUGUUUUCUAGUAUUUGCAUGAAAGAAAAAGCAAAAUUCCUGGAAUGGAAUAUCAUGGAGGGUGAUAAUCCCGUUUAUCUUUUCCACUGUCAUGCGUUACGAUACUAGAAACGGUAGAGUCGGGUUGUUUGGUAGUACAGCCUUAAUGAAUUGGGUGUUAUAUAUCAUCCAAGGCUAAAUAUGAAAGAGAGACCGAUAGCGAACAAGUACCGUGAGGGAAAGAUGAAAAGGACUUUGAAAAGAGAGUGCAAUAGUACUUGAAACCGUUGAGAGGGAAGCGCAAUCUACCAGUGUUUUUCUAUAAAAUGACCCUGGAAAUCCUAGUUUGCAAAAAUCAUCAUAUUUUUUUGUGAAUGUUGGUUAUUUCCAUGGGAUGUCCAUGUACAUGGUAAAAGUAGAUGCAAGGCUAUAUUCAAGUUGCCCAUGAUUUCCGAAAUUUUUCAAUUUGUGGAAAUGAUGGUGUCUGUGAAUGUAGAAUGUGUAUCUACUUGACUAUGUAUGAUUUAUCUCAAGUAUCAUGGACGAAAUGGUAGAUUUCGACCCGUCUUGAAACACGGACCAAGGAGUCUAACAUGACAGCGAGUAGAAAGAGAAGUAUCUCUCAUUCUACGUAGUGUAAGCAAAAUUUGAAGAGUGAUUUUUUUCGUCAUUGAAGAAAAGCAACUCGGUUCCUUUUUUCUAAAGAAAGCUGGAAAUGUAGUUGUCAUGUUGGGACCCGAAAGAUGGUGAACUAUGCCCGAGUAGGAUGAAGCCAGAGGAAACUCUGGUGAAAGUCCGUUUACGAUGCUGACGUGCAAAUCGCUCGUUUGACUUGGGUAUAGGGGCGAAAGACCAAUCGAACCAUCUAGUAGCUGGUUCCCUCCGAAGUUUCCCCCAGGAUAGCUACAGCACUCAUGUAACAGUUUUACUGUGUCAAGCGAAUGAUUAGAGGCCUCGGGAGAUUGUAAUUUCUCGACCUAUUCUCAAACUCUUAAUUGGUAAGGUACGAUACGCUAUUUUUCUAAGCGUAUUGUGGAAAAAGACAUGAUUCUUUUUUUGAGAAUGUAUUGCUGUUAGUGGGCCAUUUUUGGUAAGCAGAACUGGCGAUGCGGGUUGAACCGAACGAGAUGCUAAGGUGCCUGAAUGUACGGUUCAUUAGAAAUCGAAAAGGUGUUGAUUCAUUUAGACAGCAGGACGAUGGUCAUGGAAGUUGACAUUCGCUAAGGAGUGUGUAACAACUCACCUGCCGAAUGGUUUAGCCCUGAAAAAGGAUGGCGCUUCACCGUACUACCGAUGCAUCUCCGUUUCUUUUUCUGAAUGUAUAAACAAGGAACGUGUAGGAGGGCGUAGAGUAUGUUGUCAAGUUUAUUUUUGCGAAUGAAUGGAACGUACUCUAAUGCGGAUCUUGGUGGUAGUAGCAACGAUUCAAGUGAGAACCUUGAAGACUGAAGUGGAGUAGGUUUCCAUGUGAACAUUGAUUGGCCAUGGGUGAGUCGGUCCUAAGAGCGUAGAUGACUCUUUAUGAAAAGCCAUUUUUAUAUGGAAAUGGACAAGCUCGAAAGGGAAUUGGGUUUAUAUUCCCAAACCAGGUUGAAAUAUGAAAUGGGGUUGAUUUCAUAUGGUCGAUUUUUUUUCAUUUGAGAAAGGAUUGUACAUAUGAAAAGCAAGCGGCAACGCAAAGGUAUAUGGGAAACGAUUGCACAAGCCCUUGGAAGAGAUAUCUUUUCUUUUUAACAUUUUUUAUUAUGAUCCUGGAAACAGGUUACCUGGCGAUAGGAUGAUAAUGAUGUGAUAGCUAGGA